This 467-nucleotide ribosomal RNA is filed under the name uncultured bacterium. RNAcentral's name for it is "partial 16S ribosomal RNA". It matches the Rfam family "Bacterial small subunit ribosomal RNA", at positions 28 to 506 of the family's 1533-position model. The record is from RNAcentral.
GACGAACGCUGGCGGCGUGCUUAACACAUGCAAGUCGAACGGAAAGGCCCUGCUUUUGUGGGGUGCUCGAGUGGCGAACGGGUGAGUAACACGUGAGUAACCUGCCCUUGACUUUGGGAUAACUUCAGGAAACUGGGGCUAAUACCGGAUAGGAGCUCCUGCUGCAUGGUGGGGGUUGGAAAGUUUCGGCGGUUGGGGAUGGACUCGCGGCUUAUCAGCUUGUUGGUGGGGUAGUGGCUUACCAAGGCUUUGACGGGUAGCCGGCCUGAGAGGGUGACCGGCCACAUUGUCACUGUGAUACGGCCCAGACGCUUACGGGAGGCAGCCGUGGUGAAUCUUGCGCAAUGGGCGGAAGCCUGAUGCAGCAACGCCGCGUGCGGGAUGACGGCCUUCGGGUUGUAAACCGCUUUCGCCUGUGACGAAGCGUGAGUGACGGUAAUGGGUAAAGAAGCACCGGCUAACUACGU